This is a non-coding RNA of Myotis davidii, 80 nucleotides long. The record is from Rfam. NCBI's taxonomy places the organism in Eukaryota, Metazoa, Chordata, Mammalia, Chiroptera, Vespertilionidae.
GGCAGUUCUCAGGUGACGCACCCCAGAAUCGGAAUCAGCUCCCUCCUCUCUGGUUCCAGGUGCAUCACCCAAGAACCGAC